CGCGGGGUGGAGCAGCUUGGUAGCUCGUCGGGCGCAUAACCCGAAGGUCGGCGGUUCAAAUCCGGCUCCCGCAACCA
Molecule: transfer RNA, 77 nt
Filed under: Vibrio parahaemolyticus
Lineage: Bacteria; Pseudomonadati; Pseudomonadota; Gammaproteobacteria; Vibrionales; Vibrionaceae
Description: tRNA-Met
Rfam family: tRNA
About the family: Transfer RNA (tRNA) molecules are approximately 80 nucleotides in length. Their secondary structure includes four short double-helical elements and three loops (D, anti-codon, and T loops).
Source: RNAcentral